This 503-nucleotide ribosomal RNA is filed under the name uncultured Actinomycetes bacterium. Its description in RNAcentral is "bacterial SSU rRNA". It matches the Rfam family "Bacterial small subunit ribosomal RNA", at positions 8 to 522 of the family's 1533-position model. The record is from RNAcentral. Lineage: Bacteria; Bacillati; Actinomycetota; Actinomycetes.
AGAGUUUGAUCCUGGCUCAGGACGAACGCUGGCGGCGUGCUUAACACAUGCAAGUCGAACGGUAAGGCCCUUUUGGGGGUACACGAGUGGCGAACGGGUGAGUAACACGUGGGUGAUCUGCCCUGCACUUUGGGAUAAGCCUGGGAAACUGGGUCUAAUACCGAAUAUUCCUUGCUGGUCGCAUGGCCUGGUGGGGGAAAGCUUUUGCGGUGUGGGAUGGGCCCGCGGCCUAUCAGCUUGUUGGUGGGGUGAUGGCCUACCAAGGCGACGACGGGUAGCCGGCCUGAGAGGGUGUCCGGCCACACUGGGACUGAGAUACGGUCCAGACUCCUACGGGAGGCAGCAGUGGGGAAUAUUGCACAAUGGGCGCAAGCCUGAUGCAGCGACGCCGCGUGAGGGAUGACGGCCUUCGGGUUGUAAACCUCUUUCAGUACAGACGAAGCGAAAGUCGACGGCCCUGAACAGAAGAAGCACCGGCCAACUACGCGCCAGCAGCCGCGGUA